AGAGUUUGAUCCUGGCUCAGGACGAACGCUGGCGGCGUGCCUAACACAUGCAAGUCGAACGAACCGCGGAGGGCUUGCUCUCCAAGGUUAGUGGCGAACGGGUGCGUAACACGUGAGAAACGUACCCACCGGUGGGGGAUAGCCGGCCCAACGGCCGGGUAAUACCGCAUGCGACGUCUUCCGGGCAUCCGGAGGGCGGGAAAGCAGCAAUGCGCCGGUGGAGCGUCUCGCGGCCUAUCAGCUUGUUGGUGAGGUAACGGCUCACCAAGGCUACGACGGGUAGCUGGUCUGAGAGGAUGACCAGCCACAUUGGGACUGAGACACGGCCCAGACUCCUACGGGAGGCAGCAGUGGGGAAUAUUGCGCAAUGGCCGAAAGGCUGACGCAGCGACGCCGCGUGCGGGAUGAAGGCCUUCGGGUCGUAAACCGCUGUCAGGAGGGACGAAACUCUGACGGUACCUCCAGAGGAAGCACCGGCUAACUCCGUGCCAGCAGCCGCGGUAAUACGGAGGGUGCGAGCGUUGUCCGGAAUCACUGGGCGUAAAGGGCGCGUACGCGGCACAGUAAGUAGGGGGUGAAAUCUCACGGCUCAACCGUGAAACGGCCCUCUAAACUGCUGCGCUUGAACACCGUAGAGGCAGAUGGAAUUUCCCGUGUAGCGGUGGAAUGCCUAAAUAUCCGGAAAAACACCAGUGGCCA
Molecule: ribosomal RNA, 699 nt
Filed under: uncultured bacterium
Lineage: Bacteria
Description: bacterial SSU rRNA
Rfam family: Bacterial small subunit ribosomal RNA
Source: RNAcentral